RNAcentral lists this non-coding RNA (26 nucleotides) under Homo sapiens (human). The record is from RNAcentral. Lineage: Eukaryota; Metazoa; Chordata; Mammalia; Primates; Hominidae.
UGGCCUGACCUGUGCGUCCUUCAUGC